RNAcentral lists this non-coding RNA (27 nucleotides) under Rattus norvegicus (Norway rat). Lineage: Eukaryota; Metazoa; Chordata; Mammalia; Rodentia; Muridae. The record is from RNAcentral.
UGAGCCAAAUCUGAGGUUGAAGGACGU